RNAcentral lists this long non-coding RNA (311 nucleotides) under Lupinus angustifolius (narrow-leaved blue lupine). RNAcentral's name for it is "long non-coding RNA (LANG_LNC001420)". The record is from RNAcentral. Lineage: Eukaryota; Viridiplantae; Streptophyta; Magnoliopsida; Fabales; Fabaceae.
UGACCUCGUGGUCACUCUCUUAUUAAAUGAAGCAGAGCAGCACAAAAUAUAACAAACUUUCCUCAGUUUCUUUGAUCUGAUCUGUCGUGUUUUCCUUCAACUUCACUUCUUCAGACUUUAAAGGUGGAGAAGAUUAAGCAACACUCCUAGCAAUAUAAGCAUGAACUGGGUUUAGCUUCUUGGAUUUAAACUGCUAUAUAUGUGGAGGAAUGUCAAUUUUAGUCAUAACAUGUGAUAGAUGCCAAGGCAUGAAUGGUUUUGUGAACUUACCUACACAGAUAUUUGUGUUCUCAUCAUUGCCAUGAUUUUUU